AUUGAACGCUGGCGGCAGGCUUAACACAUGCAAGUCGAGCGGGGGAAGGUAGCUUGCUACCGGACCUAGCGGCGGACGGGUGAGUAAUGCUUAGGAAUCUGCCUAUUAGUGGGGGACAACAUCUCGAAAGGGAUGCUAAUACCGCAUACGUCCUACGGGAGAAAGCAGGGGAUCUUCGGACCUUGCGCUAAUAGAUGAGCCUAAGUCAGAUUAGCUAGUUGGUGGGGUAAAGGCCUACCAAGGCGACGAUCUGUAGCGGGUCUGAGAGGAUGAUCCGCCACACUGGGACUGAGACACGGCCCAGACUCCUACGGGAGGCAGCAGUGGGGAAUAUUGGACAAUGGGGGGAACCCUGAUCCAGCCAUGCCGCGUGUGUGAAGAAGGCCUUAUGGUUGUAAAGCACUUUAAGCGAGGAGGAGGCUACUUUAGUUAAUACCUAGAGAUAGUGGACGUUACUCGCAGAAUAAGCACCGGCUAACUCUGUGCCAGCAGGCGCCGUAA
This 501-nucleotide ribosomal RNA is filed under the name uncultured bacterium. Its description in RNAcentral is "partial 16S ribosomal RNA". It matches the Rfam family "Bacterial small subunit ribosomal RNA", at positions 30 to 523 of the family's 1533-position model. The record is from RNAcentral.